RNAcentral lists this long non-coding RNA (340 nucleotides) under Eutrema salsugineum. Its description in RNAcentral is "long non-coding RNA (ESAL_LNC001459)". The record is from RNAcentral. Lineage: Eukaryota; Viridiplantae; Streptophyta; Magnoliopsida; Brassicales; Brassicaceae.
GAAUAACAGAAUAGAGAGAGAGAAUCAGAACAGUAGAGAGAAAAAAUCAUCUUCUCGGCGAUCGGAGAAUGCUGCGAUCAAGUCUGCUUUGCUCGGGGUCUUCGCCGGCGGUUUGUGGCAAAGGCGUAUGGUUCUCGAUCGGCGAUAAAGACCUUUCUAUUCUUCUCCAAAAGCUUACCCUGCAAAUAGCUGUAGAAAGAUUCAGCUAUAAGUUCACUUGUAUCAAAAGACCUUGGUAUAGUGGAAUUGCAUGGUAGUUUAGUUCUACCCCCAGAUGUACCGUAAGGUAACUGGGUUAACAAAAGUGUGUGUGAUUCUCGUUUAGAUCUCUUAAAUCCGC